Molecule: transfer RNA, 71 nt
Filed under: Loxodonta africana (African savanna elephant)
Lineage: Eukaryota; Metazoa; Chordata; Mammalia; Proboscidea; Elephantidae
Rfam family: tRNA
About the family: Transfer RNA (tRNA) molecules are approximately 80 nucleotides in length. Their secondary structure includes four short double-helical elements and three loops (D, anti-codon, and T loops).
Source: Rfam by way of RNAcentral
GCAUUGGUGGUUCAGUGGUAGAACUCCCAUCUUCCAUUUGGGAGACCUGGGUUCAAUUCCUGGCCAGUGGA